AGCCCUACUCCUACGGGAGGCAGCAGUAGGGAAUCUUCCACAAUGGACGAAAGCCUGAUGGAGCACGCCGCGUGAAUGAGAAGGCCUUCGGGUCGUAAAAUUCUGUUGUCAGAGAAGAACGUGCGUGAGAGUAACUGUUCACGUAUUGACGGUAUCUGACCAGAAAGCCACGGCUAACUACGUGCCAGCAGCCGCGGUAAUAA
Molecule: ribosomal RNA, 203 nt
Filed under: uncultured Lactobacillus sp.
Lineage: Bacteria; Bacillati; Bacillota; Bacilli; Lactobacillales; Lactobacillaceae
Description: partial 16S ribosomal RNA
Rfam family: Bacterial small subunit ribosomal RNA
Source: RNAcentral